GUGCCAGCCGCCGCGGUAAUACAGAGGUCCCAAGCGUUGUUCGGAUUUACUGGGCGUAAAGGGUGCGUAGGUGGCGAGGUAAGUUCGAUGUGAAAUCUCCGAGCUCAACUCGGAAAUGGCAUUGAAUACUAUCCCGCUUGAGGGUCGGAGGGGAGACUGGAAUUCUCGGUGUAGCAGUGAAAUGCGUAGAUAUCGAGAGGAACACCAGUGGCGAAGGCGAGUCUCUGGACGACUCCUGACACUGAGGCACGAAAGCUGGGGGAGCAAACAGGAUUAGAAACCCUCGUAGUCC
Molecule: ribosomal RNA, 292 nt
Filed under: uncultured bacterium
Lineage: Bacteria
Description: partial 16S ribosomal RNA
Rfam family: Bacterial small subunit ribosomal RNA
Source: RNAcentral